AGGCGAUGAAGGGCGUGCUAAUCUGCGAUAAGCGCCGGUAAGGUGAUAUGAACCGUUAUAACCGGCGAUACCCGAAUGGGGAAACCCAGUGUGACUCGUCACACUAUCAUUAACUGAAUCCAUAGGUUAAUGAGGCGAACCGGGGGAACUGAAACAUCUAAGUACCCCGAGGAAAAGAAAUCAACCGAGAUUCCCCCAGUAGCGGCGAGCGAACGGGGAGGAGCCCAGAGCCUGAAUCAGCAUGUGUGUUAGUGGAAGCGUCUGGAAAGGCGCGCGAUACAGGGUGACAGCCCCGUACACAAAAGCGCAUGUGCUGUGAGCUCGAUGAGUAGGGCGGGACACGUGGUAUCCUGUCUGAAUAUGGGGGGACCAUCCUCCAAGGCUAAAUACUCCUGACUGACCGAUAGUGAACCAGUACCGUGAGGGAAAGGCGAAAAGAACCCCGGCGAGGGGAGUGAAAAAGAACCUGAAACCGUGUACGUACAAGCAGUGGGAGCCCCACCACCAAAGCAUUUGCUGUACCGCGUUGACGGAGCGAAGCGACGUCAAACCGAUAAAACAGCAGUGUAAAGUGAGCCGCAGGGCGCUUUGCGCGACAGCGCAAAGGCAGGCGGUUUCGCGUAGCGAAAGCGAAUGCUUUGGGGUGGGGUGACUGCGUA
This 659-nucleotide ribosomal RNA is filed under the name Salmonella enterica subsp. enterica serovar Enteritidis. RNAcentral describes it as "partial 23S ribosomal RNA". The stretch from base 1 to 482 matches the Rfam family "Bacterial large subunit ribosomal RNA", at positions 44 to 565 of the family's 2925-position model. Lineage: Bacteria; Pseudomonadati; Pseudomonadota; Gammaproteobacteria; Enterobacterales; Enterobacteriaceae. The record is from RNAcentral.